UACGUAGGGGGCAAGCGUUGUCCGGAUUUAUUGGGCGUAAAGAGCGUGUAGGCGGCUAGGUAGGUCCGUUGUGAAAACUCGAGGCUCAACCUCGAGACGCCGAUGGAUACCAUCUAGCUAGAGUCCGGAAGAGGAGAGUGGAAUUCCUGGUGUAGCGGUGAAAUGCGCAGAUAUCAGGAAGAACACCCGUGGCUAAGGCGGCUCUCUAGUACGGUACUGACGCUGAGACGCGAAAGCGUGGGGAGCGAACAGG
RNAcentral lists this ribosomal RNA (253 nucleotides) under uncultured bacterium. Its description in RNAcentral is "partial 16S ribosomal RNA". It matches the Rfam family "Bacterial small subunit ribosomal RNA", at positions 524 to 776 of the family's 1533-position model. The record is from RNAcentral.